RNAcentral lists this ribosomal RNA (120 nucleotides) under Trichoplax adhaerens. Lineage: Eukaryota; Metazoa; Placozoa; Uniplacotomia; Trichoplacea; Trichoplacidae. The record is from RNAcentral.
GUCUAUGACCAUAUCAUGCUGAAUAUACCCGUUCUCAUCCGAUGAUGGAAGUAAAGCGGCAUCGAGCAGAGUUAGUAAUUUAGAUAGGUGAGCGCUUAGGAAUACCCUUUGUCGCAGACU